UACGUGGGGGCCGAGCGUUGUCCGGAGUUACUGGGCGUAAAGGGCGCGCAGGCGGCGGCGUGGGUCCGGCGUGAAAGCCCCCGGCUCAACCGGGGAACGUCGUCGGGGACCGCGCCGCUUGAGGGCGGCAGGGGCCGGUGGAAUGCCUGGUGUAGUGGUGAAAUGCGUAGAGAUCAGGCGGAACACCCGUGGCGAAGGCGGCCGGCUGGGCCGUCCCUGACGCUGAGGCGCGAAGGCGUGGGGAGCGAACGGG
This 253-nucleotide ribosomal RNA is filed under the name uncultured bacterium. RNAcentral's name for it is "partial 16S ribosomal RNA". It matches the Rfam family "Bacterial small subunit ribosomal RNA", at positions 524 to 776 of the family's 1533-position model. The record is from RNAcentral.